This 253-nucleotide ribosomal RNA is filed under the name uncultured bacterium. RNAcentral describes it as "partial 16S ribosomal RNA". It matches the Rfam family "Bacterial small subunit ribosomal RNA", at positions 524 to 776 of the family's 1533-position model. The record is from RNAcentral.
UACGUAGGGGGCUAGCGUUGUCCGGAAUCAUUGGGCGUAAAGCGCGUGUAGGCGGUCCGGUAAGUCCGCUGUGAAAGUCGGGGGCUCAACCCUCGGAUGCCGGUGGACACUGUCGGGCUUGAGUACGGAAGAGGCGAGUGGAAUUCCUGGUGUAGCGGUGAAAUGCGCAGAUAUCAGGAGGAACACCAAUGGCGAAGGCAGCUCGCUGGGACGUUACUGACGCUGAGACGCGAAAGCGUGGGGAGCAAACAGG